CCCAUCAAAACAAAAUGAGAAUGAAAACAAUUUUAGUAAAUGCAUGUUGGUGGCGCUUCUUACAACCUCGAAAGUCGUAAGGAAGCAGUACUCAUGUAUAUAUACUAAAUAAAUUCAAAGGAUAUUAUCAGAGGCCUGUC
This is a regulatory RNA element of Bacteroides luti, 140 nucleotides long. It matches the Rfam family "Bacteroidete tryptophan peptide leader RNA". The record is from Rfam. NCBI's taxonomy places the organism in Bacteria, Pseudomonadati, Bacteroidota, Bacteroidia, Bacteroidales, Bacteroidaceae.